Molecule: ribosomal RNA, 500 nt
Filed under: uncultured bacterium
Lineage: Bacteria
Description: partial 16S ribosomal RNA
Rfam family: Bacterial small subunit ribosomal RNA
Source: RNAcentral
AUUGAACGCUGGCGGAAUGCUUUACACAUGCAAGUCGAACGGCAGCACGGACUUCGGUCUGGUGGCGAGUGGCGAACGGGUGAGUAAUGUAUCGGAACGUGCCCAGUCGUGGGGGAUAACGUAGUGAAAAUUACGCUAAUACCGCAUACGAUCUAUGGAUGAAAGCGGGGGAUCGCAAGACCUCGCGCGAUUGGAGCGGCCGAUAUCAGAUUAGGUAGUUGGUGGGGUAAAGGCCCACCAAGCCAACGAUCUGUAGCUGGUCUGAGCGGACGACCGGCGACACUGGACCUGAGACACGGUCCAGACUCCUACGGGAGGCAGCCGUGGGGAAUUUUGGAAAAUGGGCGAAAGCCUUAUCCAGCCAUUCCGCGUGAAGGAUGAAGGCCCUCGGGUUGUAAACUGCUUUUGUACAGAACAAAAAGGUUUCUACUAAUACUAGGAGCUCAUGACGGUACUGUAAGAAUAAGCACCGGCUAACUACGUGCCAGCCGCCGCCGUAA